AUACUUACCUGACAGGGAGAUACCAUGGUCAUGAAGGUGAUUUUCCCAGGGUGAGGCUUAUCCAUUGCACUCCGGAUAUGCGGACCCCUGCAAUUUCCCCAGAUGUGGGAAACUCGACUGCAUAAUUUUUGGUAGUGGGGAACUGCAUUCAUGCUCUCCCCUU
This is a small nuclear RNA of Echinops telfairi (small Madagascar hedgehog), 163 nucleotides long. Its record names the gene U1. It matches the Rfam family "U1 spliceosomal RNA". From Rfam's summary of the family: U1 is a small nuclear RNA (snRNA) component of the spliceosome (involved in pre-mRNA splicing). Its 5' end forms complementary base pairs with the 5' splice junction, thus defining the 5' donor site of an intron. The record is from Ensembl. Lineage: Eukaryota; Metazoa; Chordata; Mammalia; Afrosoricida; Tenrecidae.